AGAGCCCCGACGGCCGACCAGGGUCGGCUCCCCGGGCCGAACCCUGGAGACCCCAGCCCGCAGCUCUAGCUCCAGGAGAAGCGACCCAUCUCCGUGGCCCUUCCUCCCGUAAACUCCCACCUCCUCCCCAGGUCCCCGGCUUUAGAAAGAAGACUUGACGCCUGUGACGACUCCCCUCUUAAGCCACAGACAAUAUGAGGACCCCGGGGGUCGGCGCGACCGGGCAGGAUCGCGCCCCGCUUGGGGCUGGACCCUGGUCCACGGAGCCCCGCCCCUAGCCCCGCCCACCACACCUGCCGCCUGCUCGAGGCUUGGACACGCCCGGGUCUUCUCUUGCCCCGCGCUGCGCCACCCGACCUGGGCCCUGGGAUGGGGCAGGGGCGGGGGGUGCUCGGCCCUGCCACACUGUGUGACCUUGGGAAGAUGCUUUUGCUGCUGCCAUUUCACAGACGGGAAAGCGACAACGGCCCGCCUGGACUUGAACACAGGCCCAAGGCCUUCUGACCACUUGCCCGCCUCUGCUGGUCUUGCUGUCUGUCCCCACGGCCUUCACUACUGUGUCCCUGGUGCCUAGAACAGAGCCUGGUACAUAGAAGGUGCUCGAUGAAUGAUGAGGAAACUGAGGCCCAGAAGAGCUAAGUGUGUCUGCUCCAGGUCACAUGAAAGGAUGAGAAGGAAUAAAAUCUUUCCAGUCUGACUUUCCCUCUUGGGUUUGUCAUAACAGGCCUGGCAAUCUUUUCCCUAUCCCAUUUUCAAGAGGAGAAAACUGAGGCGAUUUGCCAAGGGGAGAUCCACGUGGCUGCUUUGACAGAGAGUGUUCUGCAAAAGGGCUUAGAAAUCAGCCAGCAGGUGGCAGGUUCUGGGACUGCAGGAGCCAUUCACAUGCGUGAAGAUCCGCUGGGCGCCCUUGCUCUGGGAUCAGGAAAGGCCGGUGCCAUGGAUGUGAUAGAUGCACACAGGGCAUCAGCAGGCCGCCGAGAGGAACCAGAGUGUCCAACGAACAGAAAACAGUGCUCAACCUUCACAUUUAUCGAAUGUUCCUUGGCACAUGCUGUAAUUCUGGCCCUAAAGACACAUUCAUGGACAAGACAAGCAAUUCCUGUUCUCGUGGAGCUGAAAUUCUCCUGGGGGAAGACAAGCACUAAACAAGAUCAAUGAUUAAAGUAUAGAUUGUAUUAGAUUCUGGUCAGCACUAUGGAGGAAAAUACAGCAGGGGAGCAGAGCAGGAGUUCUGGGAGAUUUGAUUUUUUGUUUUCUGGGGUUUUUUGUUUGUUUGUUUUUUGAGACAGGGUCUCACUGCUGGAGUGCAGUGGCACGAUCUCUGCUCACUGCAGCCUCUGCUUCUUGGGCUCAGGUGAUCCUCCCACCUCAACCUCCCAAGUAGCUGGGACCACAGGGGCAUGCCACCACACCCAGCUGAUUUUUUAAUGUUUUGUAGAGAUCAGGUCUCAUUAUAUUGCCCAAGCUGGGGGAGUUGAUUUUAACUUUAUGUUAGAGUAGUCAGGGAAGACCUCACUGAGGUGACAUUUAAGCAAAAACCUGAAUGUGGUGAAGCAGGUAUCUGGGGGACCUUGGACCACACAAAGGGAACAGCAAGUGCAAAGGCCCUGAGGUAGGAGCACGUAGUUGUGGUGAUGACGGAGAGUAGCAGGAAUUUGUGUCAUAGAAAUAGUGGGGGCUGGCCAGGCACAGCGGCUCAUGCCUGCAAUCCUAGCACUUUGGGAGGCCGAGGUGGGUGGAUUACUUGAGGUCAGGAGUCUGAGACCAGCCUGGCCAACAUGGUGAAACCCCAUCUCUACUAAAAAUUAAAAAAAAAAAAAUGGCCAGGCAUGGUGGCGUGCAUCUGUAAUCCCAGCUAUUCAGGAGGCUGAGACAUGAGAAUCACUUGAACCCGGGAGGCGGAGGUUGCAGUGAGCCGAAAUUGUGCCUCUGCACUCCAACCUGGGUGACAAAGCAAGACUCUGCCUCCAAAAAAAAAAAAAUGGAACAUGGAAACAUGGAAUGGGAGAAAAUAUUUGCAAAUCAUAUAUCUGAUAAGGGGUUCAUAUCCAGAAUACAUAAAGAACUGUUACAACUCAACAGCAAUAAAAACAACUCAAUUAAAAAUGGGCAAAGGACUUGAAUAAACAUUUCUCCAGAGAAAACUGUGAAUGGCUAAUAAUCACAUGAUAAGAUACUCAACAUCACUAACCAUUAAGGAAAUACAAACCAAAACUGCAAUGAGGCGCAACACUUUGGUGGAUCACCUGAGGUCAAGAGUUGGAGACCAGCCUGGCCGACACGGUGAAACCCCGUCUCUACUAAAAAUACAAAAAUUAGCUGGGCGUGAUGGUACGUGCGUAUAGUCCCAGCUACUUGGGAGGCUGAGGCAGGAGAAUCACUUGAACCUGGGAGGUGGAGGUUGCAGCAAGCCAAGAUCACGCCACUGCACCCCAGCCUGGGCAACUGAGUGAGACUCCAUCUAAAAAACAAACAAAACGCAAUGAGAAGAGAGGAUUUUGAAUGUUCCCGACACAAAGAAAUGAUAAACGCUUGAGGUAAUGGAUAUCCUAAUUACCCAGAUUUGAUUAUUACACGUUGUAUACAUGUAUUGAAAUAUCAUUUUGUAACCCAUGAACAUGUACAAUUAUGUGUCAACUAAAAAUAAAAGGAAUAAAACACAAUGAGAUACCACCUUACGCCCAUUAGGCUGGCUGCUGCGUUGGGAAGGAUGUGUAGAAACUGGAAUGCUUGUGUAGCUACUGUGGGAAAUGGUAUGGCUGUUCCUCAAAAAAUUAAAAAUAGAAUUACCAAAUGACCCAGCAAUUUUAUUUCUGGGUGUGUAUCCAAACGAAUUGAAAGCAAGAUCUUGAAGAGAUAUUUGUACACUCACGUUCAUAGCAGCCUUCUUCACAAUAGCCAAAAGGUGGAAGCAAUUAGCUGGGUGUGGUGGCGGGUGCCUGUAAUCCCUGCUACUUGGGAGGCUGAGACAGGAGAAUCGCUUGAACCUGGGAGGUAGAGGUUGCAGUGAGCUGAGAUCGCACCACUGCACUCCAGCCUAGGUGACAGAGCAAGACGCCGACUUAAAAAAAAAAAAAAAAAAAAAAAAAGAGGUGGAAGCCACCCGUGUCCAUCGAUGGACGAAUGGACAAAAUGUGAUGUGUCUGUACAAUAGAAUGUUAUUUAGCCUUAAAAAGUAAGGAGAUUCUGACACAGGCUACAACACGGAUGAACCUUAAGGAUAUUGUGCUAAGUGAAAUAAGCCAGUCACAAAAGGACAAAUACUGCAUGAUACCACUUACAUGAAGUGCCUUGAGUAGUCAGAUUCAUAAAGACAGAAAAUAGAACAGUGGUUGCCAGGAGCUGAGGUAGGAGGAAGUUCUUGUUUAAUGGAUAUAGAGUUCCAUCUUUGGGAAGAUGGAAAGAGUUCUGGAGAUGGAUGGUGGUGACGAUUACCCAACAGCGUGAAUGUCCUUAAUGGCACCAAACUGUGCACUUAAAAUGGUUAAUAUGGUAAGUUUUAUGUUCUGCGUAUUUUACAAUUUGAAAAAAAAGGCCAACGUGGGCCAGGCGCAGUGGUUCACACCUGUAAUCCCAGCACUUUGGGAGGCCGAGGCAGGAGGAUCCCUUGAGCCCAGGAGUUCAAG
Molecule: long non-coding RNA, 3626 nt
Filed under: Homo sapiens (human)
Lineage: Eukaryota; Metazoa; Chordata; Mammalia; Primates; Hominidae
Description: HSALNT0401630
Source: RNAcentral